Molecule: ribosomal RNA, 385 nt
Filed under: uncultured bacterium
Lineage: Bacteria
Description: partial 16S ribosomal RNA
Rfam family: Bacterial small subunit ribosomal RNA
Source: RNAcentral
GUAGGGAAUCUUGCGGCAAUGGACGAAAGUCUGACCGAGCAACGCCGCGUUGAGUGAAGAAGGUUUUCGGAUCGUAAAACUCUGUUGGUAGAGAAGAACGUUGGUGAGAGUGGAAAGCUCAUCAAGUGACGGUAACUACCCAGAAAGGGACGGCUAACUACGUGCCAGCAGCCGCGGUAAUACGUAGGUCCCGAGCGUUGUCCGGAUUUAUUGGGCGUAAAGCGAGCGCAGGNGGUUUAUUAAGUCUGGUGUAAAAGGCAGUGGCUCAACCAUUGUAUGCAUUGGAAACUGGUAGACUUGAGUGCAGGAGAGGAGAGUGGAAUUCCAUGUGUAGCGGUGAAAUGCGUAGAUAUAUGGAGGAACACCGGUGGCGAAAGCGGCUCUC